Molecule: ribosomal RNA, 658 nt
Filed under: uncultured bacterium
Lineage: Bacteria
Description: bacterial SSU rRNA
Rfam family: Bacterial small subunit ribosomal RNA
Source: RNAcentral
UGCAAGUCGUACGAGAGUUUUUAACUCAAGUGGCGGACGGGUGAGUAACACGUGAGUAUUUAUCUUUAGGAGGGGGACAACAAUUGGAAACGAUUGCUAAUACCCCAUAUGCUUUAGAGUGAAAUGGAUUUAUCCGCCUAAAGAAAAGCUCGCGGCUGAUUAGCUAGUUGGUAAGGUAAUGGCUUACCAAGGCGACGAUCAGUAUCUGGUUUGAGAGGACGAUCAGACACACUGGAACUGAGACACGGUCCAGACUCCUACGGGAGGCAGCAGUGGGGAAUUUUCCGCAAUGGGCGAAAGCCUGACGGAGCAAUACCGCGUGAGGGAAGACUGCCUAUGGGUUGUAAACCUCUUUUUUCAGGGAGGAAUAAAUGACGUGUACCUGAAGAAUAAGCAUCGGCUAACUCCGUGCCAGCAGCCGCGGUAAGACGGAGGAUGCAAGUGUUAUCCGGAAUCACUGGGCGUAAAGCGUCUGUAGGUGGUUAGGUAAGUCAACUGUUAAAUCUUGAGGCUCAACCUCAAAAUCGCAGUCGAAACUAUCUGACUAGAGUAUAGUAGAGGUAAAGGGAAUUUCCAGUGGAGCGGUGAAGUGCGUAGAUAUUGGAAAGAACACCGAUGGCGAAGGCACUUUACUGGGCUAUUACUGACACUCAGAGAC